AGGAGUUGUAGUUUUGAAGUUUGUGGUUUUUUCUUUUUACUCUUGGGUUUUGGAUUAAAGAGGUUUGUUUUAAUUAAUUAUGGUGUGUUGGCAUUGGGUCUCCAGUUGUCAAGCUGCGCUAGGAGAGAGAGAGAGAGGAGGGAUAUUGACUUACUGCCUUCCCCGGCGGGGGUGGGGGAGAGAUGUUUUUACUGCCUCUUUUCGGAUGCAGAUAGUGUCGGAGUAAGGAGCGCACUCUCGGUUCCAUCACUGGCACAGGUUGGACAAUAAAUCGUCACGCUACCUUCAUCCAGGUCGGGUGACAGAACUGUUUAUGGAGUAAAGGGAGAUUGGUUGACUUCCCCUCUUUGUCGUUUCUCAUUGGAUGGUCAGCAUUCUGCUACCGUAGUAACGGACCACGUCCACUCUUCCACGCAUGGGGAAAAUGGAAAUUGCCAGAGUAGAAAUGGGCUGUCAUGUGUGUGUGCUAAAGAAGGGGAGUCCAAUUUGGAAACCGGUUCCUUUGUGAUGACGGGAGAUGAUUGGAGAUCUAUUUUCACCUCAACCCGAAAGAGGACUCUGACCCGACUGUUGGGUCGAAAGCUAUUUUUGUUUUCCAAUCGCGUAUUGCAUCUGAUAAAGGAGAUCGCCAUCGACUAUCGGCUCUUUGAUUCGGAAGGAAAAUGCCCCUGUAAACCUGGAAGGAAGCGCGAAUGAGGAAAGUCACGUGACGAGCAGGGUUAAUAUUUAUCGGGUGCGUGUUGAAAGUUAAAUAAUUCAUCGCUUUCUCUUGUUGAGUGAUUUUGAUGAAUCGCUAGUUUUCGUUUCUCUCCUGAGAUGUUAUCUUCCCCGCAGUCAACCGCGUACCAAGGAGAAAGCGCAAUUUCAGGAGUUAAACGUAAAUGAUUUCUCCACUUUGAAUGUUUUUCGAAAAAUCCCGAGAAGAUCGGAUUAAGUAAGCGGAGAAUAAAAGCUAAAAUUCUCCAAUUUUCAAUGGCAUAAACCAAGUUAAAAUAUCAAACGAUAAGUUAUUGAAUACAUCAACGUCAAUCGUAUCUUCCUAUUUAACAAUAUCAAAUGGUUUUUGAUCUUUCGUACAAAUUCUGGUUUCAUACCAGGCUAGUUAAGUACGUGGAGAGAAAUUCUCGGGCCUCGCUAAACAGCACUUCAUCAUGCAGAAUUAUUCGAGUCUCCAUUCUCUUCAUUCCACUUCGACUAAGAUGCAUUACAUGGCAUCGGAGCGAAAGAACGAAUAAAAGAAUGCUUAAUUAAAGUCUUGGCCAGGACAUUCUUGCCAAGCAGAGAUUCACCGGAAGUGAACGAAGGAAACGGAAAUAGUGAGUGAUCGAUUAAUCUCCCCAGGCUAAUUUCUCUAAUUUCCUUUUUCCUAUUUCGGAAUCGGAUCUUCCGCCGAUCGUUCCGACCUGCCAUAGUCACGUGAUAUUCCAACGGUCCUAUAUGUGUCCGAGAAACGAUAAGCUCUCGAUAGAAUGUCGGUAAUAGGCGAAAACAGAAAUAAAUCCACUAUUUUACUUUAUAACGGAAGUAGAGCUGGCCAAGAUCUACCUGCUCCAUAUCUUUCCGUCUUUAAGUCUCAUCUGAGGGAGGGCAGUCGUGGUCUGGGAGCAUUUAUCUCCCGAGAGAAGAAAAGUCAUUUUCUGAUUUGAGAAAUGUUCUCUGUUCACUGCUGGACUAACGAUCAAAUGCGAAAGAUAGCGACAAUCGAGAUAGCGGUUAACCAUACCCGCUCGCUGAUGUCCUACCAAAAAUUGCGUCUAUAUACUUUUUUCCCCACCUUCCCUAAUUUAUUUCUAAAUAAUUUUCCCCUUUCCGACUUAAAUACUUUACCAGAUAUUCUACUGUGUGUAUUAAAAUUGCCAUUUCCAUUCAAAGUGUUGCGCGGAAGAAAGAUUUACAAUGGAUCUUUCUCCGCCAUAUCCUUAUCC
This 1925-nucleotide long non-coding RNA is filed under the name Androctonus crassicauda. The record is from RNAcentral. Lineage: Eukaryota; Metazoa; Arthropoda; Arachnida; Scorpiones; Buthidae.